GUAGGCUACAUGUUGCCGACCAGCAAGGCAACAUGGACUGGAGCAAGAGUUUCAGAGUGGUUACCUCUCUUUGGAUUAAAACAGAAAAAUAAACAGCAGCUGGUACGCCCUCAGAUACAGCUGACAACACACAGACGUCCAACAGAUGAUGGACACACGUACAGUUUAACAGUGAUGAACUGUACCUGCUGUGCUGGCAAACACCUCGCUUGGCGCUGACCCUUCUGAGAUAAUGGUAGCGGCGGCGGCGGCGGCAGCAUCACCCGUUGGAGUGCGGUCAAAGGUCAAGGUGCCGGAGGUGGUGAACUGUCCUGACGGGGACACUGUGACUGUUGGAGGAAGACAGACUUCUCAGCCGUGUUUGGACAAUCACUUGUGAAGUCAAAGUUUAAAUGAUGUGAUGGAAACUCCAGGACUUUCAAUGAAUGUUCAUGUCUCAUUCAGAGGAUGUCCAACUGUUCAUCAAUAUUUCAUUCAUUUAAAUAAUUAAAUAUCAAACUGAAUUCAGUCAGUAAUUGCUCUAUAGGAUGAGGUGACAAGAAUAUUAGGGUCAUUUUCAAGGUGUCAAAAGGUCAAGGAAUAAAAACGGUCUAAUCUGA
Long non-coding RNA from Micropterus dolomieu (smallmouth bass), 599 nucleotides. RefSeq lists it as uncharacterized. The transcript is spliced from 2 exons. NCBI's taxonomy places the organism in Eukaryota, Metazoa, Chordata, Actinopteri, Centrarchiformes, Centrarchidae. The record is from RefSeq and is a predicted model, not a curated record.